AACGAACGCUGGCGGCGUGCCUAACACAUGCAAGUCGGACGAGAAAGUUUCCUUCGGGAAGCGAGUAAAGUGGCGCACGGGUGAGUAACACGUAGACAACCUGCCUUCCAGUCCGGGACAACCUUUCGAAAGAAGGGCUAAUACCGGAUAACACUUUGGGCCGCAUGGCCUGGGGUUGAAAGAUUUAUCGCUGGAAGAGGGGUCUGCGGGACAUUAGCUAGUUGGCGGGGUAAC
RNAcentral lists this ribosomal RNA (234 nucleotides) under uncultured bacterium. RNAcentral describes it as "partial 16S ribosomal RNA". It matches the Rfam family "Bacterial small subunit ribosomal RNA", at positions 29 to 261 of the family's 1533-position model. The record is from RNAcentral.